Molecule: ribosomal RNA, 226 nt
Filed under: Dickeya dadantii
Lineage: Bacteria; Pseudomonadati; Pseudomonadota; Gammaproteobacteria; Enterobacterales; Pectobacteriaceae
Description: partial 16S ribosomal RNA
Rfam family: Bacterial small subunit ribosomal RNA
Source: RNAcentral
AACUCCUACGGGAGGCAGCAGUGGGGAAUAUUGGACAAUGGGCGAAAGCCUGAUCCAGCAAUGCCGCGUGAGUGAUGAAGGCCUUAGGGUUGUAAAGCUCUUUUACCCGGGAUGAUAAUGACAGUACCGGGAGAAUAAGCCCCGGCUAACUCCGUGCCAGCAGCCGCGGUAAUACGGAGGGGGCUAGCGUUGUUCGGAAUUACUGGGCGUAAAGCGCACGUAGGCG